CGGGUGAGUAACGCGUGGGUAACCUGCCUCAUACAGGGGGAUAACAGUUAGAAAUGACUGCUAAUACCGCAUAAGCGCACAGGACCGCAUGGUCCGGUGUGAAAAACUCCGGUGGUAUGAGAUGGACCCGCGUCUGAUUAGCUGGUUGGUGAGGUAACGGCCCACCAAGGCGACGAUCAGUAGCCGGCCUGAGAGGGUGAACGGCCACAUUGGGACUGAGACACGGCCCAGACUCCUACGGGAGGCAGCAG
RNAcentral lists this ribosomal RNA (251 nucleotides) under uncultured bacterium. RNAcentral's name for it is "partial 16S ribosomal RNA". It matches the Rfam family "Bacterial small subunit ribosomal RNA", at positions 103 to 354 of the family's 1533-position model. The record is from RNAcentral.